CGGGUGAGUAAUGCAUAGGAAUCUACCUAGUAGUAUAGGAUAGCCACUAGAAGUGGUGGGUAAUACUGUAUAAUCCCUGCGGGGGAAAGAUUUAUCGCUACAUGAUGAGCCUAUGUUAGAUUAGCUAGUUGGUGGGGUAAUGGCCUACCAAGGCAGUGAUCUAUAGCUGGUCUGAGAGGAUGAUCAGCCACACUGGAACUGAGACACGGUCCAGACUCCUACGGGAGGCAGCAGUGGGGAAUAUUGGACAAUGGGCGCAAGCCUGAUCCAGCUAUGCCGCGUGAGUGAGGAAGGCCUUAGGGUUGUAAAACUCUUUCAGUGGGGAAGAUAAUGACGGUACCCACAGAAGAAGUCCCGGCAAACUCCGUGCCAGCAGCCGCGGUAAUACGGAGGGGGCAAGCGUUGUUCGGAAUUAUUGGGCGUAAAGGGCAUGUAGGUGGUUUGGUUAGUUAAAGGUGAAAUGCCAGGGCUUAACCC
This 477-nucleotide ribosomal RNA is filed under the name Anaplasma bovis. RNAcentral's name for it is "bacterial SSU rRNA". It matches the Rfam family "Bacterial small subunit ribosomal RNA", at positions 103 to 615 of the family's 1533-position model. The record is from RNAcentral. Lineage: Bacteria; Pseudomonadati; Pseudomonadota; Alphaproteobacteria; Rickettsiales; Anaplasmataceae.